GAUGAACGCUGGCGGCGUGCCUAAUACAUGCAAGUCGAGCGAACAGAUGAGGAGCUUGCUCCUCUGACGUUAGCGGCGGACGGGUGAGUAACACGUGGAUAACCUACCUAUAAGACUGGGAUAACUUCGGGAAACCGGAGCUAAUACCGGAUAAUAUAUUGAACCGCAUGGUUCAAUAGUGAAAGACGGUUUUGCUGUCACUUAUAGAUGGAUCCGCGCCGCAUUAGCUAGUUGGUAAGGUAACGGCUUACUAAGGCAACGAUGCGUAGCCGACCUGAGAGGGUGAUCGGCCACACUGGAACUGAGACACGGUCCAGACUCCUACGGGAGGCAGCAGUAGGGAAUCUUCCGCAAAGGGCGAAAGCCUGACGGAGCAACGCCGCGUGAGUGAUGAAGGUCUUCGGAUCGUAAAACUCUGUUAUUAGUGAAGAACAAAUGUGUAAGUAACUAUGCACGUCUUGACGGUACCUAAUCAGAAAGCCACGGCUAACUACGUG
RNAcentral lists this ribosomal RNA (497 nucleotides) under uncultured bacterium. Its description in RNAcentral is "partial 16S ribosomal RNA". It matches the Rfam family "Bacterial small subunit ribosomal RNA", at positions 28 to 507 of the family's 1533-position model. The record is from RNAcentral.